CCCCGGUCCUCUCGCAAUAAUAGUACGUGAACUCGGCCAGGCCCGGAAGGGAGCAACCGCAGCGUAUGACUUAUGUGCCGGGAUGUGGCUGGGGGUG
Molecule: signal recognition particle RNA, 97 nt
Filed under: Ferrimonas sediminum
Lineage: Bacteria; Pseudomonadati; Pseudomonadota; Gammaproteobacteria; Alteromonadales; Ferrimonadaceae
Description: Bacterial small signal recognition particle RNA
Rfam family: Bacterial small signal recognition particle RNA
About the family: The signal recognition particle (SRP) is a universally conserved ribonucleoprotein involved in the co-translational targeting of proteins to membranes. Archaeal SRP consists of a 7S RNA and homologues of the eukaryotic SRP19 and SRP54 proteins.
Source: RNAcentral